This 119-nucleotide ribosomal RNA is filed under the name Pteropus alecto (black flying fox). The record is from RNAcentral. Lineage: Eukaryota; Metazoa; Chordata; Mammalia; Chiroptera; Pteropodidae.
GUCUACAGCCAUGUCACCCUGAACGUGCCCAGUCACGUCUGAUCUCAGAAGCUAAGCAGGGUCGGACCUGGUUAAUACUUGGAUGGGAGACCACCUAGGAAGACAAGGUGCCGUAGGUG